CCUACGGGAGGCAGCAGUGAGGAAUAUUGGUCAAUGGGCGCGAGCCUGAACCAGCCAAGUAGCGUGAAGGAUGACUGCCCUACGGGUUGUAAACUUCUUUUAUAAAGGAAUAAAGUGAGGCACGUGUGCCUUUUUGUAUGUACUUUAUGAAUAAUGAUCGGCUAACUCCGUGCCAGCAGCCGCGGUAAUACGGAGGAUCCGAGCGUUAUCCGGAUUUAUUGGGUUUAAAGGGAGCGUAGAUGGGUUGUUAAGUCAGUUGUGAAAGUUUGCGGCUCAACCGUAAAAUUGCAAUUGAUACUGGCAGUCUUGAGUACAGUUGAGGUAGGCGGAAUUCGUGGUGUAGCGGUGAAAUGCUUAGAUAUCACGAAGAACUCCGAUUGCGAAGGCAGCUUACCGGCGCCCAACUGACGCUGAAGCACGAAAGCGUGGGUAUCGAACAGGAUUAGAUACCCCUGUAGUC
Molecule: ribosomal RNA, 460 nt
Filed under: uncultured bacterium
Lineage: Bacteria
Description: partial 16S ribosomal RNA
Rfam family: Bacterial small subunit ribosomal RNA
Source: RNAcentral